Molecule: long non-coding RNA, 322 nt
Organism: Selaginella moellendorffii
Lineage: Eukaryota; Viridiplantae; Streptophyta; Lycopodiopsida; Selaginellales; Selaginellaceae
Exons: 2
Source: RefSeq, a predicted model, not a curated record
CCCAGGACAAAGCAUCCACUCCCGGCAAAGAAGCAAAGGUACUUGAUCAAGAGAUGGGCAGUGGGCGCUCUCCAAGAUAGAGCCAAGUUUAUCUUCGACAACAUCGAAUCCACCAGACAAAUGGCCCGGUCUUUGAAAAGUCUGCUGGACGAAGCGAUCGAGCUCGCAAGAAAAGGCAAAGGAUAGCAAGAUCAUCGCUUACUCGCAAGCUCCAAACCAAAGAAAAACCAAUCGCUAUCACUUGUACAAGUAGGUAGUGCUAGAAACUAGAAAUCCAAACCUUCGAGCGAUCGUUCUUUAGUGGACGAUGUGCUCCAGCUUC